RNAcentral lists this ribosomal RNA (253 nucleotides) under uncultured bacterium. Its description in RNAcentral is "partial 16S ribosomal RNA". It matches the Rfam family "Bacterial small subunit ribosomal RNA", at positions 524 to 776 of the family's 1533-position model. The record is from RNAcentral.
UACGGGGGGAGCAAACGUUGUUCGGAAUCACUGGGCGUAAAGGGCGUGUAGGCGGCUGAAUAAGUGGGAUGUUAAAUCCCCGGGCUCAACCCGGGACCUGCAUCUCAUACUGUUCAGCUCGAGCACAUCAGAGGAGACUGGAAUUCCCGGUGUAGCGGUGAAAUGCGUAGAUAUCUGGAGGAACACCGGUGGCGAAGGCGGCAUUCUGGACCGAUAUUGACGCUGAGGAGCGAAAGCCAGGGGAGCAAACGGG